Molecule: ribosomal RNA, 253 nt
Filed under: uncultured bacterium
Lineage: Bacteria
Description: partial 16S ribosomal RNA
Rfam family: Bacterial small subunit ribosomal RNA
Source: RNAcentral
UACGGGGGGAGCAAGCGUUGCUCGGAAUCACUGGGCGUAAAGCGCACGUAGGCGGCUUCUUAAGUCAGGGGUGAAAUCCUGGAGCUCAACUCCAGAACUGCCUUUGAUACUGAGAAGCUUGAGUCCGGGAGAGGUGAGUGGAACUGCGAGUGUAGAGGUGAAAUUCGUAGAUAUUCGCAAGAACACCAGUGGCGAAGGCGGCUCACUGGCCCGGUACUGACGCUGAGGUGCGAAAGCGUGGGGAGCAAACAGG